Molecule: ribosomal RNA, 425 nt
Filed under: uncultured bacterium
Lineage: Bacteria
Description: bacterial SSU rRNA
Rfam family: Bacterial small subunit ribosomal RNA
Source: RNAcentral
GGGGAAUUUUGGACAAUGGGCGAAAGCCUGAUCCAGCCAUGCCGCGUGAGUGAAGAAGGCCUUCGGGUUGUAAAGCUCUUUCGGCGGGGAAGAAAUGGCACUUUCUAAUACAGAGUGUUGAUGACGGUACCCGCAUAAGAAGCACCGGCUAACUACGUGCCAGCAGCCGCGGUAAUACGUAGGGUGCGAGCGUUAAUCGGAAUUACUGGGCGUAAAGCGUGCGCAGGCGGUUGUGUAAGUCAGAUGUGAAAUCCCCGGGCUCAACCUGGGAACUGCAUUUGAGACUGCACGGCUAGAGUGUGGCAGAGGGGGGUGGAAUUCCACGUGUAGCAGUGAAAUGCGUAGAGAUGUGGAGGAACACCGAUGGCGAAGGCAGCCCCCUGGGCCAAUACUGACGCUCAUGCACGAAAGCGUGGGGAGCAAAC